AACAAACGCUGGCGGCGUGCCUAAUACAUGCAAGUCGAACGGGGAAAGCUUUCGGGUGAGUACUAGUGGCGCACGGGUGAGGAACGCGUGGAUAAUCUGCCUUAGAGUGGGGGAUAACUAGUCGAAAGAUUAGCUAAUACCGCAUAAGACCACGAGAGCUGCGGCUUUUGAGGUCAAAGGUUUUUCGCUCUAAGAUGAGUCCGCGUAAGAUUAGCUAGUUGGUGAGGUAACGGCUCACCAAGGCGACGAUCUUUAACUGGUCUGAGAGGAUGAUCAGUCACACUGGAACUGAGACACGGUCCAGACUCCUACGGGAGGCAGCAGUAGGGAAUAUUGCACAAUGGAGGAAACUCUGAUGCAGCGACGCCGCGUGAGUGAUGAAGGCCUUCGGGUCUUAAAGCUCUGUCGCAGGGGAAUAACACAAUGAAGGUACCCUGUAAGAAAGGAUCGGCUAACUUCGUG
RNAcentral lists this ribosomal RNA (462 nucleotides) under uncultured bacterium. RNAcentral describes it as "partial 16S ribosomal RNA". It matches the Rfam family "Bacterial small subunit ribosomal RNA", at positions 29 to 507 of the family's 1533-position model. The record is from RNAcentral.